GUUGUAUGGUUAAGUGACUAAGCGUACACGGUGGAUGCCUUGGCAGUCAGAGGCGAUGAAAGACGUAGUAACUUGCGAUAAGCCCAGAUUAGGUAGUAACAACCAUUUGAGUCUGGGAUUUCUGAAUGGGGAAACCCACGUGCAUAAGCACGUAUCCUUACCUGAAUACAUAGGGUAAGGAGGCGAACCGGGGGAACUGAAACAUCUAAGUACCCCGAGGAAAAGAAAUCAACCGAGAUUCCGAAAGUAGCGGCGAGCGAAAUUGGACUAGCCCUUAAGCUUUACACGCGUUAGACGAACGGUCUGGAAAGUCCGACGAUACAGGGUGAUAGUCCCGUAGUUGACGACGUGUGUUCAGUGAAAUCGAGUAGGGCGGGACACGUGAUAUCCUGUCUGAAUAUGGGGGGACCAUCCUCCAAGGCUAAAUACUACUGACUGACCGAUAGUGAACCAGUACCGUGAGGGAAAGGCGAAAAGAACCCCUGUGAGGGGAGUGAAAUAGAACCUGAAACCGUGUACGUACAAGCAGUAGGAGCAGGCUUUGUCCUGUGACUGCGUACCUUUUGUAUAAUGGGUCAGCGACUUAUAUUCAGUGGCAAGGUUAACCAUCUAGGGGAGCCGUAGGGAAACCGAGUCUUAACUGGGCGUUCAGUCUCUGGAUAUAGACCCGAAACCAGGUGAUCUAGCCAUGGGCAGGUUGAAGGUUGAGUAACAUCAACUGGAGGACCGAACCGACUAAUGUUGAAAAAUUAGCGGAUGACUUGUGGCUAGGGGUGAAAGGCCAAUCAAACCUGGAGAUAGCUGGUUCUCCCCGAAAGCUAUUUAGGUAGCGCCUCGGACGAAUACUACUGGGGGUAGAGCACUGUUAAGGCUAGGGGGUCAUCCCGACUUACCAACCCUUUGCAAACUCCGAAUACCAGUAAGUACUAUCCGGGAGACACACGGCGGGUGCUAACGUCCGUCGUGGAGAGGGAAACAACCCAGACCGCCAGCUAAGGUCCCAAAUUACUACUAAGUGGGAAACGAUGUGGGAAGGCUCAGACAGCCAGGAUGUUGGCUUAGAAGCAGCCAUCAUUUAAAGAAAGCGUAAUAGCUCACUGGUCGAGUCGGCCUGCGCGGAAGAUGUAACGGGGCUAAGUAGUAAACCGAAGCUGCGGCAAUACUCUUUGAGUAUUGGGUAGGGGAGCGUUCUGUAAGCGGUUGAAGGUGUGUGGUAACGCAUGCUGGACGUAUCAGAAGUGCGAAUGCUGACAUGAGUAACGAUAAAGGGGGUGAAAAACCUCCUCGCCGGAAGACCAAGGGUUCCUGUCCAACGUUAAUCGGGGCAGGGUAAGUCGACCCCUAAGGCGAGGCCGAAAGGCGUAGUCGAUGGGAAACGGGUUAAUAUUCCCGUACUUCUUACAAUUGCGAUGGGGGGACGGAGAAGGCUAGGUGGGCCUGGCGACGGUUGUCCAGGUUCAAGUGCGUAGGCU
Molecule: ribosomal RNA, 1472 nt
Filed under: Vibrio sp. S457-15
Lineage: Bacteria; Pseudomonadati; Pseudomonadota; Gammaproteobacteria; Vibrionales; Vibrionaceae
Also listed under: 1 other name
Description: bacterial LSU rRNA
Rfam family: Bacterial large subunit ribosomal RNA
Source: RNAcentral